GCCAGGCGUGGUGGUGCGCGCCUGUAGUCCCAGCUACUCGGGAGGCUGAGGUGGGAGGAUCGCUUGAGUCCAGGAGUUCUGGGCUGCAGUGCACUAUGCCGAUUGGGUGUCCACACUAAGUUCGGCAUCAAUAUGGUGACCUCCCGGGAGCGGGGGACCACCAGGUUGCCUGAGGAGGGGUGAACCGGCCCCAGGUUGGAAACAGAGCAGGUCAAAACUCCCGUGCUGAUCAGUAGUGGGAUCGUGCCUGUGAAUAGCCACUGCACUCCAGCCUGGGCAAUAUAGUAAAACCCUGUCUCUU
Molecule: non-coding RNA, 301 nt
Organism: Cavia porcellus (domestic guinea pig)
Lineage: Eukaryota; Metazoa; Chordata; Mammalia; Rodentia; Caviidae
Rfam family: Metazoan signal recognition particle RNA
About the family: The signal recognition particle (SRP) is a universally conserved ribonucleoprotein. It is involved in the co-translational targeting of proteins to membranes.
Source: Rfam